AGCUUUCUAGUAGACAACUGAAAAUUUUAAGUGAAAACUGUCAAAUCUGAAAUUGAUCAUCCACAUAAAAAACACAGUAAAUAAACAUUAAUCCCAGAGCAUGGUGCUGCCAUCACCAUGUUAUUCUGUGGAUAUUGUCUCCUUCAUGUUUUGUGUCAAACACAACAUUUGAAAUUGUGACGCAGAAGUUUAGUUUCGUGGCAGAUUUUCAGUUUUGGGUAUUUUCUCUCCAGCAUUACUCCUCGGUUCAGACAUGCAGAGAUAGAUCUGCAUGUAGCUCACUAAAAGUACUUUCCAGAGAUUUCUGCAGCUCCUUCUUGUUGCUGUCAGCCCCUUGGCAGCCUCUCAAACCAGUUUCCAUCUGGACUUCUCUACAGUUUUGGAGAAAUGUCCAGUUUCCGUAAUGUCCCUCUCAUCCUGUUUCCUCUUCUGCUUGAUGGCUGCCUUCACUAUGCUGUGGUAUAUGUAUUUUUUUUUAAAUUGUGGAUGUAUUUCCCUUCCACUUUACCAAUACAUUUGUUCAAUCAGUUCCAAUUUAUCCUUCUUAAUCUCAAAUCUUAAUGGAAAUGAGCAAAUGUCAGUAAAAUUAUGAAUCAGAAAUUGAUGACAGAUGUGAAGUAAGGGCUGAAACUCAAGUAAUAGUUAGCAUAUUCUUUUCAAGGUUUCCCUAAAACACAUUUCUAUAAGAUAUUGUACAAUAUUGUAAUUAUGCUGCCUUUGAAAUCAACUCAUAACCUUUGCACUUUUCCAGAUUACCACGAACACAACGUAAGGCGUGAUUGUUGUGUAAAUUGGUUUAAAAAAAAUUACAGCAAUAAAUCUUUAACUAUGAGCUUCAGCAAACAGUAUACAAAGCCUAAUAAACAACAUAACGUUACAUUUAUUAACAACAUUAAGAACCAGUUAAGAACCAGUCCAUGCUGAACGUCCAUCUCUAUCCGCUCCGUUUCGUUUGUGUCCGUUUCGUUGCUAUGCGUUUAAAUAAAAAGGUAUUUUCACUCAGAUAAACCCACAUCAAUGGACUCUUUGAACCUCAGCUUCCGCGUUCGGGGGAAAGCGGCUCGAUUGUUUCCGAUCCGAUAAAAAUAUAAUUUUACACCAGGUGCUUGCAGGGCUAGGCCAAGGUUUGUACAUCGAUCCGAAGCCCCAACAAGUAAACUGGAGAAAGGUUUUAAGAUGUACGCCUCGUUAUACAUUCACUGACACAAAGUUCUCUGCUUGAUUAAAGGAGGUUGUUUCUGGCCACUCAUCGUCCUAAAAACAAAGGACUCCUGCAUCUACUUUCUACCAUCUUGCAGCUUAAUCCACCCUGACAGAACUGCUUAAACCUCGAAGACUUCCAGGUGUUCUCUGCUAAACCUGACCUGCCUUCCUAUGCUGAAGACGACGUCUUUAUGCUCCCCUCAGCCCGGACCGAGGAAACCGAUUCAUGACCGUAUCUCAGCUCAUAAACAUUGUUUGGAAUCUGUCUAUUCCAAUAAUAAAUCUUGACCAGGGGUUCCCAAACUUUUC
Molecule: long non-coding RNA, 1512 nt
Organism: Poecilia reticulata (guppy)
Lineage: Eukaryota; Metazoa; Chordata; Actinopteri; Cyprinodontiformes; Poeciliidae
Source: RefSeq, a predicted model, not a curated record